AUUGAACGCUGGCGACAUGCCUUACACAUGCAAGUCGAACGGCAGCACGGGUGCUUGCACCUGGUGGCGAGUGGCGAACGGGUGAGUAUUACAUCGGAACAUGUCCUGUAGUGGGGGAUAGCCCGGCGAAAGCCGGAUUAAUACCGCAUACGAUCUACGGAUGAAAGCGGGGGACCUUCGGGCCUCGCGCUAUAGGGUUGGCCGAUGGCUGAUUAGCUAGUUGGUGGGGUAAAGGCCUACCAAGGCGACGAUCAGUAGCUGGUCUGAGAGGACGACCAGCCACACUGGGACUGAGACACGGCCCAGACUCCUACGGGAGGCAGCAGUGGGGAAUUUUGGACAAUGGGCGAAAGCCUGAUCCAGCAAUGCCGCGUGUGUGAAGAAGGCCUUCGGGUUGUAAAGCACUUUUGUCCGGAAAGAAAUCCUUGGCCCUAAUACGGUCGGGGGAUGACGGUACCGGAAGAAUAAGCACCGGCUAACUACGUG
Molecule: ribosomal RNA, 486 nt
Filed under: uncultured bacterium
Lineage: Bacteria
Description: partial 16S ribosomal RNA
Rfam family: Bacterial small subunit ribosomal RNA
Source: RNAcentral